Molecule: unclassified non-coding RNA, 237 nt
Filed under: Hevea brasiliensis (rubber tree)
Lineage: Eukaryota; Viridiplantae; Streptophyta; Magnoliopsida; Malpighiales; Euphorbiaceae
Source: RNAcentral
GGAAAGAAAGAAAGAAAGCAAUAGAGAAGAUGAAGAAGUUGUCGUCAUGGCUUCCUGGACCAACAAAGAAGCUCCAUGUGAAGGUGAAACCAUUGAAGCUUGAAGGAGUCUGCGUGGGAGAUGUAGAAGAUGGAAAGGAAAGAAUAGUUGUUGUCGUGAUGAAAUGGAAAGGACCCAGAGCUAGAUUUGUUCCAUUUUAUCAUAGAGUUAUGAAAUGCCCAAAAAAUUAUAGCAGCC